CCCUCCAAUAUCACAAAAGGUCCACCGAAGGAUACCCGAUAAAUUUCUGCUACUUUAUCUUCCCCUUCUCUCUCCUUUCCCACAAACCGCGUCUCCGCUUCUCGAGCCCACCCACAAAUCUUCGGAGAAGAGAGAGAGAGAGGGGCAGGGCGGCCAGAGGAGGCACGCCUGCCCGGAUCAUAACCAAGAUUCAAAUUUGCCCGCUCAUCAAUCAUGGUUCUUGAUUCAUUAUCAUCGCCUCACAGGAGGUCGCAAAACACAUUCUUUCUGUCAUCUCCUAAGAAGCCUCAAUCAUCUCGUGAUGAUGUUGGUAGUUGGUCUGCCCUGGUUGAGCGGCAUCGCUUUCUCUUGACAACGCUAGUGGUGCUUGCCUUCCUGUGCACCAUAUAUCUUUACUUCGCGGUGACCUUGGGGGCACCACAAGCUUGCUCAGGGUUGGCGGGCGAUGAAAUGACCGUAUGUCAGGAAAAAUCAGCCCUGCAACAUGGAAAGUUGAAAUAUCGCUAACUCCGCUUGACAGUUUACAAUGUGCUUGUGGUCCAAAUUCGUAUAUUCUUUAGUUGUGGAUGCUGAAAGGGCUUGUAUUGAUGCUGCUGUACAUUUUAAUGGAGUGAUAGAGGGGAUUGUAUGUGCUCUGAUGAAACCGUAUAACUGAAUAGGUCCCAUUUUAUUAUUGUCACGGUGUACUAAAAAUAUCAUGGCACUAAUUCAUCCUGGUGAUUCUGAUAUUGUUAUAUAUAUAUAUAUAUAUAUAUAUAUAUAUAUAUAUAUAUAUAUAUAUAUGUAUAUUGAUACAAUAUUAUCAAUAAUAUGGGCGGGGUAGACAAAAAAGUGAAUAUUUCUGCAAGAAGCAAGCAUCAUCCACAAAAAAGAAGAAAAGAAGACCAAGCUUGAGCUUGGCCGCAUACAUCGCAGAAGAAGGCAGGUGUCUGAGUCAAGACAGAAUGUGAGUAACGAAGCUGAGAAGGCUGCAAUGCAAGUAACGAGGAGCUGAGGAGAGGCCGGAAUGCAAAUAACGAGAAGCUGCCAGCCGUUCUCGUGAAGACAUCCUUAUCCUCGCUCCAGAAGGCUCUGCCAUAUGAAUAAAAAAGAGAAGGCUCCCUAACGCCUCCCUCGACUAUAAAAGGAGAGGCUGGCUUCACAAGAACGGAGCAGCAACACAAGCAGAGCCUAAAGUCUCCCUCGAGCAAGAAGAGCAGCCUCCAGAGCACUCUUAGUAGUAGUACCACCACCACUUGUAGAAUAGCCGCCAUAUCGAAGGCGCUGUAAUCGCCAAGAAAAAUAAGACAAGUUCAACAAUGGCAUGUCAUGGACAAGAGGAUGUGGAACACCUUCAAAAUGCUAAGGACACAUAUUGGCAAAGCUCAAGACUCUUCAUUUAUAUUUUAGUGAUCCAAGAUCACAUUGAGUCCAUAGGAAAGCCAAUACUAUUAAAAGGGGAUGAGGUGUUGCUUAAUGGUCUACUUGCUCAAAAUGCUUAGUGAUAUUGCUCCAAAGCCCUCAAUCACUUUCCCAUUUUCAAAUAUGUCCAAAACACAAAGUCAAACUCGGCCCCACCGAAAUCUCCUAUCCGGCGCCACCGAGUUUAUUUGACAUAGCCACUGCCAGAAACCCUAACACCUCGGUCACACCGAUACGGAUCUCGGUCUCACUGAGAUGGCCU
This is a non-coding RNA of Aegilops tauschii subsp. strangulata, 1663 nucleotides long. Lineage: Eukaryota; Viridiplantae; Streptophyta; Magnoliopsida; Poales; Poaceae. The record is from RefSeq and is a predicted model, not a curated record.